This 247-nucleotide ribosomal RNA is filed under the name uncultured Fusobacteriaceae bacterium. RNAcentral's name for it is "partial 16S ribosomal RNA". It matches the Rfam family "Bacterial small subunit ribosomal RNA", at positions 1 to 264 of the family's 1533-position model. Lineage: Bacteria; Fusobacteriati; Fusobacteriota; Fusobacteriia; Fusobacteriales; Fusobacteriaceae. The record is from RNAcentral.
UGACGAGUUUGAUCCUGGCUCAGGAUGAACGCUGACAGAAUGCUUAACACAUGCAAGUCUACUUGAUCCUUCGGGUGAUGGUGGCGGAGUGGGUGAGUAACGCGUAAGACUGCCUGCAGUCUGGGACAACAUUUGGAAACGAAUGCUAAUACCGGAUAUUACGCGAGUUUCGCAUGAAAUUCGUAUGAAAGCUAUAUGCGCUGCAGGAGAGCUUUGCGUCCUAUUAGCUAGUUGGUGAGGUAACGGC